RNAcentral lists this ribosomal RNA (919 nucleotides) under uncultured bacterium. RNAcentral's name for it is "bacterial SSU rRNA". It matches the Rfam family "Bacterial small subunit ribosomal RNA", at positions 8 to 882 of the family's 1533-position model. The record is from RNAcentral.
AGAGUUUGAUCAUGGCUCAGGAUGAACGCCGGCGGUGUGCCUAAUACAUGCAAGUCGAACGCGUUGGCCCAACUGAUUGAACGUGCUUGCACGGACUUGACGUUGGUUUACCAGCGAGUGGCGGACGGGUGAGUAACACGUAGGUAACCUGCCUCAAAGCGGGGGAUAACAUUUGGAAACAGAUACUAAUACCGCAUAACAAUUUGAAUCGCAUGAUUCAAAUUUAAAAGAUGGUUUCGGCUAUCACUUUGGGAUGGACCUGCGGCGCAUUAGCUUGUUGGUAGGGUAACGGCCUACCAAGGCUGUGAUGCGUAGCCGAGUUGAGAGACUGAUCGGCCACAAUGGAACUGAGACACGGUCCAUACUCCUACGGGAGGCAGCAGUAGGGAAUCUUCCACAAUGGGCGCAAGCCUGAUGGAGCAACACCGCGUGAGUGAAGAAGGGUUUCGGCUCGUAAAGCUCUGUUGUUAGAGAAGAACGUGCGUGAGAGUAACUGUUCACGCAGUGACGGUAUCUAACCAGAAAGUCACGGCUAACUACGUGCCAGCAGCCGCGGUAAUACGUAGGUGGCAAGCGUUAUCCGGAUUUAUUGGGCGUAAAGCGAGCGCAGGCGGUUCGAUAAGUCUGAUGUGAAAGCCUUUGGCUUAACCAAAGAAGUACAUCGGAAACUGUCAGACUUGAGUGCAGAAGAGGACAGUGGAACUCCAUGUGUAGCGGUGGAAUGCGUAGAUAUAUGGAAGAACACCAGUGGCGAAGGCGGCUGUCUGGUCUGCAACUGACGCUGAGGCUCGAAAGCAUGGGUAGCGAACAGGAUUAGAUACCCUGGUAGUCCAUGCCGUAAACGAUGAGUGCUAGGUGUUGGAGGGUUUCCGCCCUUCAGUGCCGCAGCUAACGCAUUAAGCACUCCGCCUGGGGAGUA